RNAcentral lists this ribosomal RNA (295 nucleotides) under uncultured Eubacteriales bacterium. Its description in RNAcentral is "uncultured Clostridiales bacterium partial 16S ribosomal RNA". It matches the Rfam family "Bacterial small subunit ribosomal RNA", at positions 45 to 339 of the family's 1533-position model. The record is from RNAcentral. Lineage: Bacteria; Bacillati; Bacillota; Clostridia; Eubacteriales.
UGCUUAACACAUGCAAGUCGAACGGGCAUUUAAGCUUCGGUUUAAAUGUUAGUGGCGGACGGGUGAGUAACGCGUGGGCAACCUGCCUUUACCAGGGGGAUAACUGUGAGAAAUCAUAGCUAAUACCGCAUAAGACCACGAAGGGGCAUCCCUUUGAGGUAAAAGAUUUAUCGGGUAAAGAUGGGCUCGCGUCCUAUUAGCUAGUUGGUGGGGUAACGGCCUACCAAGGCGACGAUAGGUAGCCGACUUGAGAGGGUGAUCGGCCACAUUGGAACUGAGACACGGUCCAAACUCC